RNAcentral lists this ribosomal RNA (415 nucleotides) under uncultured prokaryote. Its description in RNAcentral is "bacterial SSU rRNA". It matches the Rfam family "Bacterial small subunit ribosomal RNA", at positions 505 to 918 of the family's 1533-position model. The record is from RNAcentral.
GUGCCAGCCGCCGCGGUAAUACGGAGGUUGCAAGCGUUGUUCGGAAUGACUGGGCGUAAAGGGAGCGCAGGCGGUUGGGCAAGUCCAAAGUGAAAGCCCGGGGCUCAACUCCGGAAGUGCUUUGGAUACUGCCUUACUCGAGUUCGUGAGAGGAAAGCGGAAUUCCAGGUGUAGCGGUGAAAUGCGUAGAUAUCUGGAGGAACACCGGUGGCGAAAGCGGCUUUCUGGCACGAUACUGACGCUGAGGCUCGAAAGCGUGGGGAGCAAACAGGAUUAGAUACCCUGGUAGUCCACGCUGUAAACGUUGUGCACUAGGUGUGGGAGGUAUCGACCCCUCCCGUGCCGCAGCUAACGCAUUAAGUGCACCGCCUGGGGAGUACGGUCGCAAGACUGAAACUCAAAGGAAUUGACGGGG